GGCCUCACGGUCUAAAAGUUAUGG
This 24-nucleotide non-coding RNA is filed under the name Arabidopsis thaliana (thale cress). The record is from RNAcentral. Lineage: Eukaryota; Viridiplantae; Streptophyta; Magnoliopsida; Brassicales; Brassicaceae.